AUGAUGUGNUUAAUUCGAUGCAACGCGAAAANCCUUACCUACCCUUGACAUGUCUGNAUCCUGAAGAGAUUUGGGAGUGCUCGAAAGAGAACCAGAACACAGGUGCUGCAUGGCCGUCGUCAGCUCGUGUCGUGAGAUGUUGGNUAAGUCCCGCAACGAGCGCAACCCUUGUCAUUAGUUGCUACGAAAGGGCACUCUAAUGAGACUGCCGGUGACAAACCGGAGGAAGGUGGGGAUGACGUCAGGUCCUCAUGGCCCUUAUGGGUAGGGCUACACACGUCAUACAAUGGCCGGUACAGAGGGCUGCCAACCCGCGAGGGGGAGCCAAUCCCAGAAAACCGGUCGUAGUCCGGAUCGCAGUCUGCAACUCGACUGCGUGAAGUCGGAAUCGCUAGUAAUCGCGGAUCAGCUUGCCGCGGUGAAUACGUUCCCGGGUCUUGUACACACCGCCCGUCACACCAUGGGAGCGGGUUCUGCCAGAAGUAGUUAGCCUAACCGCAAGGAGGGCGAUUACCACGGCAGGGUUCGUGACUGGGGUGAAGUCGUAACAAGGUAGCCGUAUCGGAAGGUGCGGCUGGAUCACCUCCUU
This 589-nucleotide ribosomal RNA is filed under the name uncultured Ideonella sp. RNAcentral's name for it is "bacterial SSU rRNA". It matches the Rfam family "Bacterial small subunit ribosomal RNA", at positions 936 to 1532 of the family's 1533-position model. Lineage: Bacteria; Pseudomonadati; Pseudomonadota; Betaproteobacteria; Burkholderiales; Sphaerotilaceae. The record is from RNAcentral.